RNAcentral lists this long non-coding RNA (984 nucleotides) under Callithrix jacchus (white-tufted-ear marmoset). RNAcentral describes it as "lncRNA (ENSCJAG00000072284.1)". The record is from RNAcentral. Lineage: Eukaryota; Metazoa; Chordata; Mammalia; Primates; Cebidae.
GGGGAGUCAUUGCUGCUUCUCCAGCAGCAGAACUGAAGAUGCAAGCCAGGUGCCUAGAAAGCAAACGUUUAGGAAACCCUCACUCUCAGGGCUGCAUGGGCGCUGUGCUCCCGACACAGCACCUGCUGACAUUCUGUGCCGUUUCCACCUUGCCUGGCUCACUGUGGUCUCUGCCUUGCCCUACAGCUCUGUCUCCAUCCCUGGGGCUCUAAGCUCUCAGCCAGCUGCCCAUGCUGGCAUCUCAGCUCUCUGCCACUGCAGCCACACCCCUGCCAUCUUCAUGCCUGGGAAGAAGCUAAUGUGAUUGGGCACUGGUUCCAGGCCAGCUGGCUCCAGAGUGCAAGCAGGCUCUGCACACUCAGCAGGCACCAGGAGGAUCUUCCUACCCCCCAACUUGCCAGUUGUCCACCUCCCUGGACCAAGGACCCCUGGGAGACCAGCUUUUGUGCGUGCCCUAACCUCCCCCGCUCCCUGCCAGAGCUGCUUCCUCCUCGCCUGCGAGAAAGCCUUAGCAGCCGGAGCCCAGCUGCUCUACCUUCUCCUCCCCUUCCUCCAGCAAGGAUCCUGGUCGAUGCAUCUGCUGUGCACGUUACGGAUGGCCACGUUGAAGGAUUCCUCUCAGUGUUUGGCAACCAGAGCUCCCAUCUGGGGCAGCCCAGCUCCCUCCGUCAUGUCAUAAAUCACUUUGCUAAAGAUGCAACGUGGCUUUUGGGCAUUUUUCUUUUGAAAAAUCAAUAACUCGUUUAACAAGGGACUGCAUAAAGGAGUGAGCAGUGAAGCCGCCUGUCAUUUCCUUCCAUCAGGAGGGGCAGAAGCAGUGCCCUGCCAAGGUUGGGUGGGGGGGUCUACUCAGAGGGCAGUGAGGCCUUGGGGGUGGGGACAGUAGGCUCAACCCAUUUCCAGCAAACCUGUCCCCUCAUCCCAAUUCUUCCAACCUCCAGACCUGACCAAUGCCCUCCUCUGCUUCAAAAAAACACCUUAGUA